Molecule: ribosomal RNA, 776 nt
Filed under: Microbacterium sp.
Lineage: Bacteria; Bacillati; Actinomycetota; Actinomycetes; Micrococcales; Microbacteriaceae
Description: bacterial SSU rRNA
Rfam family: Bacterial small subunit ribosomal RNA
Source: RNAcentral
GCUUAACACAUGCAAGUCGAACGGUGAAGGAGAGCUUGCUCUUUGGAUCAGUGGCGAACGGGUGAGUAACACGUGAGCAAUCUGCCCCUGACUCUGGGAUAACAGUUGGAAACAGCUGCUAAUACCGGAUAUGAGACGUGACCGCAUGGUCGACGUUUGGAAAGAAUUUCGGUCAGGGAUGAGCUCGCGGCCUAUCAGCUUGUUGGUGAGGUAAUGGCUCACCAAGGCGUCGACGGGUAGCCGGCCUGAGAGGGUGACCGGCCACACUGGGACUGAGACACGGCCCAGACUCCUACGGGAGGCAGCAGUGGGGAAUAUUGCACAAUGGGCGAAAGCCUGAUGCAGCAACGCCGCGUGAGGGACGACGGCCUUCGGGUUGUAAACCUCUUUUAGCAGGGAAGAAGCGAAAGUGACGGUACCUGCAGAAAAAGCGCCGGCUAACUACGUGCCAGCAGCCGCGGUAAUACGUAGGGCGCAAGCGUUAUCCGGAAUUAUUGGGCGUAAAGAGCUCGUAGGCGGUUUGUCGCGUCUGCUGUGAAAACUGGAGGCUCAACCUCCAGCCUGCAGUGGGUACGGGCAGACUAGAGUGCGGUAGGGGAGAUUGGAAUUCCUGGUGUAGCGGUGGAAUGCGCAGAUAUCAGGAGGAACACCGAUGGCGAAGGCAGAUCUCUGGGCCGUAACUGACGCUGAGGAGCGAAAGGGUGGGGAGCAAACAGGCUUAGAUACCCUGGUAGUCCACCCCGUAAACGUUGGGAACUAGUUGUGGGGUCCAUUCC